Molecule: long non-coding RNA, 1171 nt
Filed under: Sus scrofa (pig)
Lineage: Eukaryota; Metazoa; Chordata; Mammalia; Artiodactyla; Suidae
Description: lncRNA (ENSSSCG00050017508.1)
Source: RNAcentral
AUGGGCUUUAAAUUCAUAUACAAGUUUACACAAAAUGUUUUGCACUCAUUUAUGGUAUUUUUUUGCAGGGGAUGGGAACAUUGCAACAUAUGUAUCCUUCUGGAGAGGAAAAGCAUUACCUAUCAGUCUGAAGAGGAGCACUGUUUAAGGAGCCAAAAGGUGUGCUUUUAGAGAUAUCUCUUCCCAGGCAAUGAUUCACACUACCACUUCCUCCACAUUACUCAGAGAGAGAGAGCAAAAAGAGUUUGGGCAGCUGUUGCAUCUGUGACUUUUGCUGAAGUAAGGUGAGUAUUUUCCUUUUUUUUUUUUUUUUUUUGGACAAAAGAGUUAAUAUUUAUUGAUCAACUGUUAUUUGCCAGGUAUGUUCUAAAAGCCAUCAGGUAUAAUAUAUAACUUACUUCUCUCAAUAUUAAUAAUUAGGGAUAAUUACUGAAUCAUCUACAUUCUUUUUUAAAAUAUUAUUUUCCAUCAUGGUCUGUUGCAGGAGAUUGGAUAUAGUUCUCUGUGCUACAUACUAGGAAUCUAUUGUCUACUCAUUCUAAAUGUAAUAGUUUGUACCUGUUAACCCCAAGCUCCCAGUCCAUCCCACUUCCUCCCACCUCUCCCUUUGGCAACCGUAAGUCUCUUCUCCUUGUCUCUGCGUCUUUUUCUGUUUUAUAGAUAGAUCAUUUGUGCCAUAUUUUAGAUUCCACAUAUAAAUGAUACCACAUGGUAUUUGUCUUUAUCUUUCUGGCUUAACUUCAGUUAGUAUGAGAAUCUCUAGUUGUACCUAUAUUGCUGCAAAUGGCAUUACUGUUUAGGUCUUCUGCCCAUUUUUUGAUUGGGUUUUUGCUUUUUUUGUUGUUGAAUUGUAUGAGUUGUUUGUAAAUUUUGGAGAUUAAGCCCUUGUUGGUUGCAUCAUAUGCAGCUGUUUCUUCCAUUCCUUAGGUUGUCUCUUUGGUUUUUUUAUUUUUUAUGAAUUCCUUUGCUGUGCAAAAUAUGUAAGAUUGAUUAGGUCCCAUUGAUUGAUUUUUGUUUUUAUUUCUGUUACCUUGGGAGACUGACCUAAGAAAACAUUUGUAUCAGUUUAUAUCAGAGAAUGCUUUGCCUAUGUUCUCUCCUAGGAGUUGUAUGGUGUCAUGUCUUAUGUUUAUAAAGCAAUUUUGAAUUUAUUUUUGUGCAUGGUGUGAGA